RNAcentral lists this ribosomal RNA (497 nucleotides) under uncultured bacterium. RNAcentral describes it as "partial 16S ribosomal RNA". It matches the Rfam family "Bacterial small subunit ribosomal RNA", at positions 28 to 507 of the family's 1533-position model. The record is from RNAcentral.
GACGAACGCUGGCGGCGUGCCUAAUACAUGCAAGUUGAGCGAUGAAGAUUGGUGCUUGCACCAAUUUGAAGAGCAGCGAACGGGUGAGUAACGCGUGGGGAAUCUGCCUUUGAGCGGGGGACAACAUUUGGAAACGAAUGCUAAUACCGCAUAACCACUUUAAACAUAAGUUUUAAGUUUGAAAGAUGCAAUUGCAUCACUCAAAGAUGAUCCCGCGUUGUAUUAGCUAGUUGGUGAGGUAAAGGCUCACCAAGGCGAUGAUACAUAGCCGACCUGAGAGGGUGAUCGGCCACAUUGGGACGGAGACACGGCCCAAACUCCUACGGGAGGCAGCAGUAGGGAAUCUUCGGCAAUGGACGAAAGACUGACCGAGCAACGCCGCGUGAGUGAAGAAGGUUGUCGGAUCGUAAAACUCGGUUGGUAGAGAAGAACGUUGGUGAGAGUGGAAAGCUCAUCAAGUGACGGUAACUACCCAGAAAGGGACGGCUAACUACGCG